RNAcentral lists this unclassified non-coding RNA (335 nucleotides) under soil metagenome. RNAcentral describes it as "partial contains 5.8S ribosomal RNA, internal transcribed spacer 2, and large subunit ribosomal RNA". The stretch from base 1 to 120 matches the Rfam family "5.8S ribosomal RNA", at positions 35 to 154 of the family's 154-position model. The record is from RNAcentral.
GAUGAAGAACGUAGCGAAAUGCGAUAAGUAGUGUGAAUUGCAGAAUUCAGUGAAUCAUCGAAUCUUUGAACGCACAUUGCGCCCCUUGGUAUUCCAUGGGGCAUGCCUGUUCGAGCGUCAUUUGUACCCUCAAGCUCUGCUUGGUGUUGGGUGUUUGUUCCGCUGUACGCGUGAACUCACCUCAAAUCAAUUGGCAGCCGGCAAUCUGGUGUUUGAGCGCAGCACAAUUUGCGCUCUUCGCUGUAUUGCGGCGUCCAUAAAGUCUACAUUUAUGCGCUUGACCUCGGAUUAGGUAGGGAUACCCGCUGAACUUAAGCAUAUCAAUAAGCGGAGGA